This 798-nucleotide ribosomal RNA is filed under the name uncultured crenarchaeote. Its description in RNAcentral is "bacterial SSU rRNA". It matches the Rfam family "Archaeal small subunit ribosomal RNA", at positions 52 to 859 of the family's 1478-position model. The record is from RNAcentral. Lineage: Archaea; Thermoproteati; Thermoproteota.
UGCGAGUCACGUAGCAAUACGUGGCACACGGCUCAGUAACACGUAGUCAACAUAACCAGAGGACGUGGAUAAACUCGGGAAACUGAGGCUAAACCGCGAUAGACCAAGAUACCUGGAAUGGUUUUUGAUCAAAAUCUAUAUGGCCUUUGGAUUGGACUGCGACCGAUCAGGCUGUUGGUGAGGUAAUGGCCCACCAAACCUGUAACCGGUACGGGCUCUGAGAGGAGGAGCCCGGAGAUGGGCACUGAGACAAGGGCCCAGGCCCUAUGGGGCGCAGCAGGCGCGAAACCUCUGCAAUAGGCGAAAGCCUGACAGGGUUACUCUGAGUGAUUCCCGCUAAGGGAAUCUUUUGGCAUCUCUAAAAAUGGUGCAGAAUAAGGGGUGGGCAAGUCUGGUGUCAGCCGCCGCGGUAAUACCAGCACCCCGAGUGGUCGGGACGAUUAUUGGGCCUAAAGCAUCCGUAGCCGGUCUUGCAAGUCUUCCGUUAAAUCCAGCUGCUUAACAGAUGGGCUGCGGAGGAUACUACAAGGCUAGGAGGCGGGAGAGGCAAGCGGUACUCAGUGGGUAGGGGUAAAAUCCUCUGAUCCAUUGAAGACCACCAGUGGCGAAGGCGGCUUGCCAGAACGCGCUCGACGGUGAGGGAUGAAAGCUGGGGGAGCAAACCGGAUUAGAUACCCGGGUAGUCCCAGCUGUAAACGAUGCAGACUCGGUGAUGGGCCGGCUUUAUGCCGGCUCAGUGCCGCAGGGAAGCCGUUAAGUCUGCCGCCUGGGGAGUACGGUCGCAAGACUGAAACUUAA